This 780-nucleotide ribosomal RNA is filed under the name Acinetobacter sp. 2P2A12. RNAcentral's name for it is "bacterial SSU rRNA". It matches the Rfam family "Bacterial small subunit ribosomal RNA", at positions 56 to 829 of the family's 1533-position model. Lineage: Bacteria; Pseudomonadati; Pseudomonadota; Gammaproteobacteria; Moraxellales; Moraxellaceae. The record is from RNAcentral. RNAcentral also lists the same sequence under 2 other names.
UGCAAGUCGAGCGGGAAUAGGUAGCUUGCUACCGAUUUCUAGCGGCGGACGGGUGAGUAAUGCUUAGGAAUCUGCCUAUUAGUGGGGGACAACAUUUCGAAAGGGAUGCUAAUACCGCAUACGCCCUACGGGGGAAAGCAGGGGAUCUUCGGACCUUGCGCUAAUAGAUGAGCCUAAGUCAGAUUAGCUAGUUGGUGGGGUAAAGGCCUACCAAGGCGACGAUCUGUAGCGGGUCUGAGAGGAUGAUCCGCCACACUGGGACUGAGACACGGCCCAGACUCCUACGGGAGGCAGCAGUGGGGAAUAUUGGACAAUGGGGGGAACCCUGAUCCAGCCAUGCCGCGUGUGUGAAGAAGGCCUUUUGGUUGUAAAGCACUUUAAGCGAGGAGGAGGCUACUCUAGUUAAUACCUAGGGAUAGUGGACGUUACUCGCAGAAUAAGCACCGGCUAACUCUGUGCCAGCAGCCGCGGUAAUACAGAGGGUGCGAGCGUUAAUCGGAUUUACUGGGCGUAAAGCGUACGUAGGCGGCUUUUUAAGUCGGAUGUGAAAUCCCUGAGCUUAACUUAGGAAUUGCAUUCGAUACUGGGAAGCUAGAGUAUGGGAGAGGAUGGUAGAAUUCCAGGUGUAGCGGUGAAAUGCGUAGAGAUCUGGAGGAAUACCGAUGGCGAAGGCAGCCAUCUGGCCUAAUACUGACGCUGAGGUACGAAAGCAUGGGGAGCAAACAGGAUUAGAUACCCUGGUAGUCCAUGCCGUAAACGAUGUCUACUAGCCGUUGGGGC